RNAcentral lists this ribosomal RNA (88 nucleotides) under Finegoldia magna ATCC 53516. Lineage: Bacteria; Bacillati; Bacillota; Tissierellia; Tissierellales; Peptoniphilaceae. The record is from RNAcentral.
GUACCCAUGCCGAACACAGAAGUUAAGCCUCUUAACGCCGAUGGUACUACGAUGGAAACGUCGUGGGAGAGUAGGUAGUCGCCAAACA